Small nuclear RNA from Ochotona princeps (American pika), 61 nucleotides. Its record names the gene U7. It matches the Rfam family "U7 small nuclear RNA". Rfam says of the family: Animal histone pre-mRNAs are spliced by a different mechanism than nuclear pre-mRNAs and self-splicing introns. This processing involves the U7 snRNP, which contains only one RNA species: U7. The 5' end of U7 RNA is thought to base-pair to a conserved spacer element downstream of the cleavage site in histone pre-mRNA. The record is from Ensembl. Lineage: Eukaryota; Metazoa; Chordata; Mammalia; Lagomorpha; Ochotonidae.
AAAUGUUAUAGCUCUUUCAGACUUUGUCUAGUAGUUUUCAUGUUGCAGCUGGAAAAUCCCC